UUUGUGCCCAUGCCCUUUGUGAUGGGUUUUGAAUGAAUUGAGUACCCGAUUCACACAGAUUUCUGUGCAUACGCUCAGUUACAAGUGAUUGGAGUGAAUCGAGUACCCCAUUCAUAACCUGUUCCACAUUUCUGCACAUGCGCUCUGUGAGGGGUGACUCAAUUGAAUCAAGUACCCGAUUUACUUCAGUGAGUGACUCAUAAGAACAGUCAAAGGAAUCCUGUUUCCCAUCACUACUUCCUGGUUCAUGGAGGAUGAGACAAGUAUGAAUCAGCAAAGUGAAAGGCAGCGGUCUCAAGCUAAGCAAACAGCCUUCUGGGGGAGGUUGGCAUCACCCCUAUACAUACUCUAGGCUGCGGGGCUAUGCUGCAGCCGAAUCCAGCUAAGUUUGCGGGGGAGGCAGGGAACGCCCUGGACGGGUUGCCAGCCAAUCACAGUCCUGCAGGGUCAAGACACUCACGUCUGUGGAAGCUCCAGGCUGAAUGCAUACUCGUGUCUUCCUGAAUGGAUAGUGGUGAGUCC
Molecule: non-coding RNA, 522 nt
Organism: Doryrhamphus excisus (bluestripe pipefish)
Lineage: Eukaryota; Metazoa; Chordata; Actinopteri; Syngnathiformes; Syngnathidae
Source: RefSeq, a predicted model, not a curated record